Molecule: non-coding RNA, 1339 nt
Organism: Rhopilema esculentum
Lineage: Eukaryota; Metazoa; Cnidaria; Scyphozoa; Rhizostomeae; Rhizostomatidae
Source: RefSeq, a predicted model, not a curated record
GAGACAGCAAGCUCUGGAGUUUUGAUCAGAAUCCCUCAGAAUUCAAAAUCAGAAGUUGAGAUGGGGGCCGUCAGAUCGAAGUUUUCCAAAAUUGUAUCGAACAGUGUCAUGAAUGAAACAAGGAUGCACCGAGAAAUAUCAAAAGAAAAGCCACGACAUGCACCUCGACAUCCUUCCACUGAACAAGCAUUUCAAAACCUUAUAAACGAAAAUCCUGUUUUACAAGACAUUGAUAAAGUGAAGGAUACAGAGUACCUGAAACUGCUUAGUGACCUAAGAGUUGACUCUGUUGAUGAAAAGGUGCCAUACGAUAGCUUGACGAGCCUAUCAUCGAGGAACGAAGGUCAAAGAAUAGUGCCUGGCAAAGUAACUUGUGAACAAAUUUUUGAAAUGUUUUCUUUAAGGAGACAUGACCCUCAAGAAUGGACACCAGAAAAGAUUGCCAAAAAGUAUUAUCUCGCAGAAGGUGUUGUAAAUAAUAUACUACUUAACUAUAGCAGUUUUAAUGUUUUAAAAAUUAAGAAAGAAGAAAGUCCAUUUAAGAGAGUUGAUCUGAUUUAAAGAGAAUUUCGAUUGUGCUUAGUAACCAUUCUAUUGUGUGUUUGAAAGUGGCCAUUGUUCAACUGUCGUAAUUUGGAUAACUCAUAACCUAUAAAUUUAGGAACUUAACACGAUAGAGUCACGGAACAAUGCUGGAGGUAUACAUUCACAUAUAAUCCCGAAUGUGGCAAAGAAUUUUGCCUAGUUUGCUUAUUUGCGUUGUCUAUAAUUUUCAGGUUAUUCAUCUUUAUUUAAAAGUCUCUUACUAAGAACUUUUAAAUAUUGUAUUAUAUUUAAAUAUUAUAGAAAGUGUUUCCCGCUCCUCUGCCUUACUCGUUUCAUAUUUGGGAAGUAGGACAUGUAGUUAAAUGGUCCUUAAAGGCAUGUAUGACGUAUAAACAUUAGCUGUUUAGAUCGUGCAGCACUAGGACCUUCCAUAUUUAAUUUUGGGAGUUAUCACUUUUAUUCCGCAUUUGUUGUGAAAAAGAAUGACAAAAAGUGUCCUGAAUGUAUUAAACCUUAUCAAUACUAGGAAUGUUGAGACAUUUAGCUCGAUAAAAUCAGUGUGAUGAAUUUGAAUCUCCAUUACGAAAUUCUAACAUAGUGUAGCGAUUAAUUUUGGUUCAAUAUUUUGAAGAAAUAAAAGAUUUCUGCCUCGAUAUUAAACGAUUUUUUAUGUUAUAACCAAGACGAUUGUACAAUAGGGUUGCAAGAGUUGUAACUAAAGUUUAGUUGUCAAAUUCGAUCGUUGAAGUUCGACGUUCAACGUUUACUAUUCAUUGGCAGAAGUACAUUGUAA